This is a non-coding RNA of Vicia faba (fava bean), 195 nucleotides long. The record is from the annotation of a GenBank genome assembly. Lineage: Eukaryota; Viridiplantae; Streptophyta; Magnoliopsida; Fabales; Fabaceae.
AUGUUUAAUUUUAAUUUUUAUAUAUGUAUCUUAAGCGUAUCGUAUCCUAGAUUUGUCAAUGACCGGCAUAUCUACGUAUCGUAUUUGAUUCCUGUAUCAUGUCCAUGCUUCAUUGGCCGUAUUUUUCCUUUUGCAAUUGGAAAUUGGAAGAUCUUUCAUUUCAUCUCAUCGAUUCGAUCAAAUUCCAUACUAUGA